Molecule: long non-coding RNA, 1044 nt
Filed under: Salmo salar (Atlantic salmon)
Lineage: Eukaryota; Metazoa; Chordata; Actinopteri; Salmoniformes; Salmonidae
Description: lncRNA (ENSSSAG00000114909.1)
Source: RNAcentral
GGUAAAUCAUGCUGUGUUUAUUGUACGGAGAGAGAAACUCUUCAGAAAUAACACCAAUACAAGAUAUCAGGUGUUUAAAUAUGGACAUAUUGGUCCCAUAGCAUUCACCAGCAACAUGAACAUGUUCAGGACAAUCAGGAAGGUAGAGGACAUGAGCAUGUUCAGGACAAUCAGGAAGGUAGAGGACAUGAGCAUGUUCAGGACAAUCAGGAAGAUAGGACAUGUUCAGGACAAUCAGGAAGGUAGAGGACAUGAGCAUGUUCAGGACAAUCAGGAAGGUAGAGGACAUGAACAUGUUCAGGACAAUCAGGAAGGUAGAGGACAUGUUCAGGACAAUCAGGAAGGUAGAGGACAUGUUCAGGACAAUCAGGAAGGUAGAGGAGAUGUUCAGGACAAUCAGGAAGGUAGAGGAGAUGUUCAGGACAAUCAGGAAGGGAGAGGACAUGUUCAGGACAAUCAGGAAGGGAGAGGACAUGUUCAGGACAAUCAGGAAGGUAGAGGAGAUGUUCAGGACAAUCAGGAAGGUAGAGGAGAUGUUCAGGACAAUCAGGAAGGUAGAGGACAUGAACAUGUUCAGGACAAUCAGGAAGGUAGAGGACAUGAACAUGUUCAGGCCAAUCAGGAAGAUAGAGGACAUGAACAUGUUCAGGACAAUCAGGAAGGUUGAGGACAUGUUCAGGACAAUCAGGAAGGUAGAGGACAUGAACAUGUUCAGGACAAUCAGGAAGGGAGAGGACAUGUUCAGGACAAUCAGGAAGGGAGAGGACAUGUUCAGGACAAUCAGGAAGGUAGAGGCUAGAAACAUUUCAAUCAAACAGCCCAGAAACACAAUAUUACACAUUCAGUGUGAAAGUUAGACAUUGUAUAACAUGUAGAACAUUAAAUAAUAAAUAUAGUGUCAAAGCUUUUUACCCUCUAAACUGGACUUGAUGGGAAUGAAGACAGGAGAUAUGAGGGGGGUGAUACUGAUGGGAGAUAUGGGGGGGGUGAUACUGAUGGGAGAUAUGGGGGGGGGUGAUACUGAUGGGAGAUAUGAGGGGGGGG